Molecule: ribosomal RNA, 494 nt
Filed under: uncultured bacterium
Lineage: Bacteria
Description: partial 16S ribosomal RNA
Rfam family: Bacterial small subunit ribosomal RNA
Source: RNAcentral
GACGAACGCUGGCGGCGUGCCUAAUACAUGCAAGUCGAACGCUGAAGGAGGAGCUUGCUUCUCUGGAUGAGUUGCGAACGGGUGAGUAACGCGUAGGUAACCUGCCUGGUAGCGGGGGAUAACUAUUGGAAACGAUAGCUAAUACCGCAUAAGAGUAGAUGUUGCAUGACAUUUGCUUAAAAGGUGCAAUUGCAUCACUACCAGAUGGACCUGCGUUGUAUUAGCUAGUUGGUGGGGUAACGGCUUACCAAGGCGACGAUACAUAGCCGACCUGAGAGGGUGAUCGGCCACACUGGGACUGAGACACGGCCCAGACUCCUACGGGAGGCAGCAGUAGGGAAUCUUCGGCAAUGGACGGAAGUCUGACCGAGCAACGCCGCGUGAGUGAAGAAGGUUUUCGGAUCGUAAAGCUCUGUUGUAAGAGAAGAACGAGUGUGAGAGUGGAAAGUUCACACUGUGACGGUAUCUUACCAGAAAGGGACGGCUAACUACGG